AUGGCGCGUGCUGCCUUUGCCCACUUCUCCAGCAUUAUUGGCCAUGCUGAGACACGCGAAUUCAGUCUUUGUUUAAGUGCAAUGGACCCUCGCCGCUUCGACCUUGCUGAGCUUGAUCGCCCGUUCACUGAGGACGAGAUUUGGAGGGCUAUGGAAAUGCUACCUCUCGGGAAAGCACCCAGUAUGGAUGGGUUCACCGCCGAAUUCCUCCGUGCAUGCUGGAGCACCAUUAAGGGCGACGUCUGUGCGGUCUUCGACAAGAUCUAUUCAAUGAAUGCAUGUGGUUUUCAGAAGCUUAACCAAGCGCUCAUUACACUCGUCCCCAGGAAGUUCGAUGCUUCAACCCAAUCUGAUUACCACCCCAUCAGUUUGAUCCACUGUCGUGGUUCUAAGUCUGACAGUAGAAAGGGGGGUAGGUAUGGAGAGGCAAGAUCUUAG
This 438-nucleotide ribosomal RNA is filed under the name Triticum aestivum (bread wheat). RNAcentral's name for it is "partial small subunit ribosomal RNA". The record is from RNAcentral. Lineage: Eukaryota; Viridiplantae; Streptophyta; Magnoliopsida; Poales; Poaceae.